RNAcentral lists this ribosomal RNA (475 nucleotides) under uncultured bacterium. Its description in RNAcentral is "bacterial SSU rRNA". It matches the Rfam family "Bacterial small subunit ribosomal RNA", at positions 25 to 518 of the family's 1533-position model. The record is from RNAcentral.
CAGGACGAACGCUGGCGGCGUGUCUAACACAUGCAAGUCGAGCGAGGAGAUCCUCGGGAUGAUCCUAGCGGCGGACGGGUGAGUAACACGUGGGCAACCUGCCUCAUAGAGAGGAAUAGCCUUCCGAAAGGGAGAUUAAUACCUCAUAACAUUGCAGUUUCGCAUGAAACAGCAAUUAAAGGAGCAAUCCGCUAUGAGAUGGGCCCGCGGCGCAUUAGCUAGUUGGUGAGGUAACGGCUCACCAAGGCGACGAUGCGUAGCCGACCUGAGAGGGUGAUCGGCCACAUUGGGACUGAGACACGGCCCAGACUCCUACGGGAGGCAGCAGUGGGGAAUAUUGCACAAUGGGGGAAACCCUGAUGCAAGCAACGCCGCGUGAGUGAUGACGGCCUUCGGGUUGUAAAGCUCUGUCUUCAGGGACGAUAAUGACGGUACCUGAGGAGGAAGCCACGGCUAACUACGUGCCAGCCGCUGC